CAAACUGGAGAUGGCGACCGGCGCACGGGUGAGUAACACGUAUCCAACCUGCCGAUGACUCGGGGAUAGCCUUUCGAAAGAAAGAUUAAUACCCGAUGGCAUAGUUCUUCCGCAUGGUAGAACUAUUAAAGAAUUUCGGUUAUCGAUGGGGAUGCGUUCCAUUAGGCAGUUGGUGGGGUAACGGCCCACCAAACCUUCGAUGGAUAGGGGUUCUGAGAGGAAGGUCCCCCACAUUGGAACUGAGACACGGUCCAAACUCCUACGGGAGGCAGCAUG
RNAcentral lists this ribosomal RNA (276 nucleotides) under uncultured bacterium. RNAcentral describes it as "partial 16S ribosomal RNA". It matches the Rfam family "Bacterial small subunit ribosomal RNA", at positions 77 to 353 of the family's 1533-position model. The record is from RNAcentral.